GGCUUUCUUUCUUUUCUUUUUCCUCUUCUUUCUUGCUCAUCAGCCACCGCUUGUGAUCGUUGUGUGCACCAAUCCAAAGGCUUCCUAUUUCUCCAAAGUUUCUGCUUUCUCAUCUGGGACAUGUGAGUAUUGGUUCUUUACCAUUGGACUUUAGUGGUGGACAACUUGCAGCUGGUGUUUCUUCACUUUUCUAUGAUGGAAAUGGUUGUGGUGCUUGCUUUCGGGUAAGAUGCAAGAACUAAGGUUUAUGCACAAAAGAGUGAUAGACGAAUGGACAGUGCAUUGAGGAGGAAGAAUGUGAUGUCAACUAAAGGAGGGAUUGGAAGGGGAAUAAAUCGCAGAUUGACACUUGUGUUAUACGAAUGAACCCUUUCUAUUUUACUUACCAAAGAUUUUUUGAUUAAUGUUCA
Cicer arietinum (chickpea) is the source of this 410-nucleotide non-coding RNA. NCBI's taxonomy places the organism in Eukaryota, Viridiplantae, Streptophyta, Magnoliopsida, Fabales, Fabaceae. The record is from RefSeq and is a predicted model, not a curated record.